UACGGAGGGUGCCAGCGUUGUCCGGAUUUAUUGGGUUUAAAGGGUGCGUAGGCGGUCUUUUAAGUCAGUGGUGAAAUCCUCCAGCUUAACUGGAGAACUGCCAUUGAUACUGAAAGACUUGAGUACAGACGAGGUAGGCGGAAUUGACAGUGUAGCGGUGAAAUGCAUAGAUAUUGUCAAGAACACCGAUUGCGAAGGCAGCUUACUAGACUGUAACUGACGCUGAGGCACGAAAGUGCGGGGAUCAAACAGG
RNAcentral lists this ribosomal RNA (253 nucleotides) under uncultured bacterium. Its description in RNAcentral is "partial 16S ribosomal RNA". It matches the Rfam family "Bacterial small subunit ribosomal RNA", at positions 524 to 776 of the family's 1533-position model. The record is from RNAcentral.